UUGAACUGAAGAGUUUGAUCCUGGCUCAGAUUGAACGCUGGCGGCAUGCCUUACACAUGCAAGUCGAACGGCAGCACGGGUGCUUGCACCUGGUGGCGAGUGGCGAACGGGUGAGUAAUACAUCGGAACAUGUCCUGUAGUGGGGGAUAGCCCGGCGAAAGCCGGAUUAAUACCGCAUACGAUCCACGGAUGAAAGCGGGGGACCUUCGGGCCUCGCGCUAUAGGGUUGGCCGAUGGCUGAUUAGCUAGUUGGUGGGGUAAAGGCCUACCAAGG
Molecule: ribosomal RNA, 274 nt
Filed under: Burkholderia multivorans
Lineage: Bacteria; Pseudomonadati; Pseudomonadota; Betaproteobacteria; Burkholderiales; Burkholderiaceae
Description: partial 16S ribosomal RNA
Rfam family: Bacterial small subunit ribosomal RNA
Source: RNAcentral